AAUCUUCCGCAAUGGACGAAAGUCUGACGGAGCAACGCCGCGUGGGUGAAGAAGGCCUUCGGGUUGUAAAGCCCUUUCUUAUGGGACGAAGAAAGUGACGGUACCAUAGGAGGAAGCCACGGCUAACUACGUGCCAGCAGCCGCGGUAAUACGUAGGUGGCAAGCGUUGUCCGGAAUCACUGGGCGUAAAGGGCGCGUAGGCGGAUUUUUAAGUCAGGUGUGAAAUCUUCGGGCUCAACCCGGAGUGUGCAUUUGAUACUGGAAGUCUUGAGUGCUGGAGAGGGCAGUGGAAUUCCUAGUGUAGCGGUGAAAUGCGUAGAUAUUAGGAGGAACACCAGUGGCGAAGGCGGCUGCCUGGACAGUAACUGACGCUGAGGCGCGAAAGCGUGGGGAGCAAACAGG
RNAcentral lists this ribosomal RNA (402 nucleotides) under uncultured bacterium. Its description in RNAcentral is "partial 16S ribosomal RNA". It matches the Rfam family "Bacterial small subunit ribosomal RNA", at positions 360 to 776 of the family's 1533-position model. The record is from RNAcentral.